This is a non-coding RNA of Tulasnella sp. 427, 71 nucleotides long. The record is from the annotation of a GenBank genome assembly. Lineage: Eukaryota; Fungi; Basidiomycota; Agaricomycetes; Cantharellales; Tulasnellaceae.
AGUAAGGUAGUUUAAUGGUAAAAUUAAGGUUUAAUUAACCUUAGACAGGUGUUCGAUUCACCUCCUAGCUA